GCUUUGAAGUGUGGACGCCAGUCUGCAUGGAGCCGACCUUGAAAUACCACCCUUUAAUGUUUGAUGUUCUAACGUGGACCCGUUACCCGGGUUGCGGACAGUGUCUGGUGGGUAGUUUGACUGGGGCGGUCUCCUCCUAAAGAGUAACGGAGGAGCACGAAGGUUGGCUAAUCCUGGUCGGACAUCAGGAGGUUAGUGCAAUGGCAUAAGCCAGCUUGACUGCGAGCGUGACGGCGCGAGCAGGUGCGAAAGCAGGUCAUAGUGAUCCGGUGGUUCUGAAUGGAAGGGCCAUCGCUCAACGGAUAAAAGGUACUCCGGGGAUAACAGGCUGAUACCGCCCAAGAGUUCAUAUCGACGGCGGUGUUUGGCACCUCGAUGUCGGCUCAUCACAUCCUGGGGCUGAAGUAGGUCCCAAGGGUAUGGCUGUUCGCCAUUUAAAGUGGUACGCGAGCUGGGUUUAGAACGUCGUGAGACAGUUCGGUCCCUAUCUGCCGUGGGCGCUGGAGAACUGAGGGGGGCUGCUCCUAGUACGAGAGGACCGGAGUGGACGCAUCACUGGUGUUCGGGUUGUCAUGCCAAUGGCACUGCCCGGUAGCUAAAUGCGGAAGAGA
This 611-nucleotide ribosomal RNA is filed under the name Salmonella enterica subsp. enterica serovar Weltevreden. RNAcentral's name for it is "partial 23S ribosomal RNA". It matches the Rfam family "Bacterial large subunit ribosomal RNA", at positions 2154 to 2764 of the family's 2925-position model. The record is from RNAcentral. Lineage: Bacteria; Pseudomonadati; Pseudomonadota; Gammaproteobacteria; Enterobacterales; Enterobacteriaceae.